UUGCAAUGAUGUGUCUGAAUUUCUUCAACUGAAUGUAACCGUGAGGAUCAACUUUUUUGCCUGAGCAAG
Small nucleolar RNA from Halichondria panicea, 69 nucleotides. NCBI's taxonomy places the organism in Eukaryota, Metazoa, Porifera, Demospongiae, Suberitida, Halichondriidae. The record is from RefSeq and is a predicted model, not a curated record.